AGGUUUUAGCGCUGGAGCGCCGGUGUCGUACGGUAGCCAAUACGCGCAGCCCGAGCAACGCCGCGGGUUGGGCACUGGCGCAGCCGUGGGCCUGGGCGUUGGCGCGCUAGCCGCCGGCGGGCUGGCGGGCUACGCCAUGGCUGGCGGGUUCAGCAGCGACAGUCCCACCGAGGAGGUACGCAUUGCCGACAGCAGUACAGACUUCGGAAGCGACGAAUGGAUGGAAUGAGCUAAGCUACAAUAGAUAGCAUUAACUUACUGCUACAUAUAUAUAACACAAGUGCCGGAUUAACCACG
This is a long non-coding RNA of Pararge aegeria (speckled wood butterfly), 297 nucleotides long. RefSeq lists it as uncharacterized. The transcript has 3 exons. Lineage: Eukaryota; Metazoa; Arthropoda; Insecta; Lepidoptera; Nymphalidae. The record is from RefSeq and is a predicted model, not a curated record.